AGCAGCCGUGGUAAUUCCAGCUCCAAUAGCGUAUAUUAAAGUUGUUGCAGUUAAAAAGCUCGUAGUUGAAUUUCGGGAUCAGUACGCUGGUCGUGCCUUUGGUAUGCACUGGUGUCACUGGUUCCUCCCUUCUGAAGAACUGUCAUGCCAUUAAUUUGGUGUGGCGGGGAAUCAGGACUGUUACUUUGAAAAAAUUAGAGUGUUUAAAGCAGGCUCGCGCUUGAAUACAUUAGCAUGGAAUAAUGGAAUAGGACGUUUGAUCCUAUUUUGUUGGUUUCUAGGAUCGACGUAAUGAUUAAUAGGGAUAGUUGGGGGCAUUAGUAUUCAGUUGUCAGAGGUGAAAUUCUUGGAUUUAUUGAAGACUAACUACUGCGAAAGCAUUUGCCAAGGAUGUUUUCAUUAAUCAAGAACGAAAGUUAGGGGAUCGAAGACGAUCAGAUACCGUCGUAGUCUUUAACCAUAAACUAUGCCGACUAGGGAUCGGAUGAUGUUAAUUUUUUAAUGACUCA
This 509-nucleotide ribosomal RNA is filed under the name uncultured Glomus. Its description in RNAcentral is "SSU rRNA". It matches the Rfam family "Eukaryotic small subunit ribosomal RNA", at positions 569 to 1078 of the family's 1831-position model. Lineage: Eukaryota; Fungi; Glomeromycota; Glomeromycetes; Glomerales; Glomeraceae. The record is from RNAcentral.